AAACUUUGAGAAAAUAUGCUUCACAGUUUGUAUAUUCAGACUAUGUUCCAAUUUAGUCUUUUGAAAUGAAAACAAAGCAAUAUUUUUAACAAAUGCAAUGUUUUUCAGGGUUUCUUAACUUUUGAAUUCCCAAAAUCUAAUAGUCGGACAAAGUAGGUUUUCCACUGUAGGCAGUGAGCUGUUUCCUUUUUCGUGCUAAGAUUAGCUGUUAGUCACUGUUAGUCAAUUUAAAUUCUUUUAACUGAUGAAAUAGAAGAUGUGUAGUUUAAGUGUCAGAAAAUGUUGUAGUUUGGCUGUAGUAACUGGCUGUGCCACCAGGUGGUGCCUCUUCCUGUUUAAUGAGAUGGAGUUACAGGUGUGUUUGCUGACUGCCUGUAAUGUUUACAUUAAACAAACAUCUUUCUUGCUCUCUAACUGAUAACUCUGGCAGUCAUGUUGAUGAACUGUGUAGCAUAAAGCUAUAAAAAUGUAGCUCUGUGGUUUAGACUUAUGCUAAUGCUAAGCUAAGAUACUGAAAUGCUAACAGGCUGGGAGCUUAGUGUCUGUCAGCAGAGAGCAGCAGCUUCAACCAACGUUUGGAUCUAAUGAUGAUAUCAGUGAUAUCUCUGAGUAUAAAUACCUUUUAGAGGCAGCAGUAAGUACUGACAGAUUUCCUGGACUGAUGAAGUUUCUACAGCAGUAUUUGUGCACAUCUGUUCAAGUUGAGCAUCAAUCCAUCGUGUAGAUCAGCGACGAGGAUUAUGUUGAUAUCAAACUGCUGUGAUGAGAAGUAUCAGUGGGUAAUACGCUUUUAUGGAGAAACGUUCACUGUAAUUCAUUUUAACAAUAAAUUGAUUAUUGAUUGUUGACAUAUAAAAUAGUUCAAAUUUGCAUCCUGAAGACUCAUUUAAAAUCACUCCACCCUCUUUGCAUUUGGAUUAUUGCUUUUACAGUCAAACACAGAAAUCUUCAGCACAUAAAUCCAAAGUUUGCUGUUCGGCUUGGUGAACUGAAGCAGCCUUUUAUAGCAAUAGCUGUGGUUCUUUAGCUUCCUGCAGUCAUCGAUUGUAGUUAUUCUGCCUUUGAGGGUUGUUUGUAAAAGUAAAAGUUCAGUUCUACAAUCAGAUUCGUCUCUGAGUCAAUGCAACCUUUUGUCAUUGAGCACUUUUGCAAGCAUUUCAUAACCUUUGGCACUGUGUCAAGAAGGACCAAAUUAGCAUCUCAUUGUGAGACCCCUUGAAGGUUUAAAUCAUAUCGUUGUGUCUUUAUUGUAGAGAAUAUUAUCACGUAGUGUGUGAUACUGCAGUGCGAUAAGCCAUAACCAAACCAUGAGGAUUUACUGUCCCUUAUGUGCCACGCAAUAAUGGCUGUGACAUCACUGAUAAACUGACAUAUUGAUCACUGUGUCCAUGGCCUGUCCUGCCCUGCAGAGACAAACAGCAGUUACUGUUUUUGAUUUUGAGUUAAAAAUUGUGAUACCACAGAGUUUAAUUAUUCGCUCCUCGUCCUUCUGCCAGGAUGAAAGACAAACCUUGAUGUCACUUUUCUCCGUUUUACCGCACUUUGGGUUUAAAAUGCAGUUUAGGAUCUUGCUGAUGCCAUAUGUGUACUGAUCUGUUCAGUCAGAUUGUAAUCAAUGACCAGACGUCAGCGUAGAUUUGCUUGUUUAACUCACUUGGCUGCUUUAGCUUGACACACCGGAUUCAUUUAUUUGUUUUUGACUCAAUUGGAAAUGAGGUGCAAAGUUUACUAGUAACUACCUCAAGUUCAGCAGUGCUCUGCAGAAACUGACUACAGAGUGGUAGUACUGGACAAGGUUUUGUGAAAUGAGCACAGUUCCCUUCACCAAAAACUACAAAUAUAGUGUCUGAGGUGUCAAACCGAGGAUGAUCAGCAUCUGGAUUUCAUGUAACAUCCAAGAGUCCAGGUGUGCUGCAUGUAAGGACUACUCUACUCUACAAACACCUUCUUCUAUAAGUCUUAAUGUCCCCUUAAUGGACAUAUAUUUAGUUUCAUAGUUCUGUGUGCAACAUUCAGGAACACUGGAUGUCACUAGAGCACCAUCAUUUCAGGGAAAACAAACAGCCCCCCCAUGCCAUAUCGAUGCCAGUUGUUUUCUUUGGGUUCAGAAAUACCAUAUUACUGUUUAUUGAUUUGGAGGAACAGUUCAGAGAUCAUUUCCCACAAUAAAAAUAAUAAGGCUUGAAGAGAGGUGUGUUUUUGGUAUUUCGUCCAAUCACAGCACCAGUUCUGCUCAAAAACUUUCACAGUGUUCUUAGAAUUUGUGCUCAUUUCACUAAACAUUGUGAGACAGAGUUGCAUGGCUUUAUCCCCAUCACAUGGUUUCAGUUGAAUAUGUCACAUCAUUUGGAGAAAAGGCAAUACUCUGCUCCAGUUUUGUGUUUUGGAUCAUGACAUGGUAGAGCUGUCAGGAUCCACUCUGGGUGUGUUGAAGCGAUAAAUAGCCUAACACUGAAUUAAUAUGCAGCCACAGAGACUUGCCAUUGAAUACAGCUAAUACUGCAAGCUAACUGGCGUCCACUUUUAACGUGGCGCAUGUACACGAGAGAAAUAAUGUCAUUGCACGGGUUUAUUUGCCGAUCUUUCAGCCCACUGUGUCCCUUCCUCUCUGCUGAAUGGUGGGUGGUAUUGUUUGGUACUUUCAGUGUAUUAACGUUCUGUAUAUUGGUGUAAAUGUGGCAUGAAAACCGACCCCUCUUGUGUGCCUCAGGUGUGUAAAUUUGGUCGUUACGUGAUCUCAGUGUCUGGCUGCUUAUUUGUGAGAAGUGCGAUGCAUCUCAUGUGUUUCUGUAAUUUAUUUGUAUUAAUAUUAUUUCUGUACUUUUCUUCUUUUGUCUGAAAAUCAAGAUUUCUGUUAUUAAAAGUAACAACUUUUAUUA
Long non-coding RNA from Amphiprion ocellaris (clown anemonefish), 2879 nucleotides. The record is from Ensembl. NCBI's taxonomy places the organism in Eukaryota, Metazoa, Chordata, Actinopteri, Pomacentridae.